Molecule: ribosomal RNA, 430 nt
Filed under: uncultured bacterium
Lineage: Bacteria
Description: bacterial SSU rRNA
Rfam family: Bacterial small subunit ribosomal RNA
Source: RNAcentral
AACCUGCGGCAUCUUUACACAUCAAGUCGACCGGCAGCCGGCUUCGCCCUGGUGGCGAGUGCGAACGGUAGUAUACAUCGGAACGUACCCAGAAGUGGGGAUAACGUACGAAAGUUACGCUAAUACCGCAUACGUUCUACGGAAGAAAGUGGGGGAUCGCAAGACCUCAUGCUUUUGGAGGGGCCGAUGUCUGAUUAGCUAGUUGGUGGGGUAAAGGCUCACCAAGGCUUCGAUCAGGAGCUGGUCUGAGAGGACGACCAGCCACACUGGAACUGAGUCCGGUCCAGACUCCUACGGGAGGCAGCAGUGGGGAAUUUUGGACAAUGGGCGCAAGCCUGAUCCAGCAAUGCCGCGUGAGUGAAGAAGGCCUUCGGGUUGUAAAGCUCUUUUUCAGGGAAGAAACGGCUCGGCUAAUAUCCGCGGCUAAUGC